This 253-nucleotide ribosomal RNA is filed under the name uncultured bacterium. RNAcentral's name for it is "partial 16S ribosomal RNA". It matches the Rfam family "Bacterial small subunit ribosomal RNA", at positions 524 to 776 of the family's 1533-position model. The record is from RNAcentral.
GACGUAGGGGGCGAGCGUUGUCCGGAAUUACUGGGCGUAAAGAGCACGUAGGCGGGAACUUAAGUCAGGUGUGAAAGACCGGGGCUCAACCUCGGGGGUGCACUUGAAACUGGGUUUCUUGAGGGCAGGAGAGGAAAGUAGAAUUCCUGGUGUAGCGGUGAAAUGCGUAGAAAUCAGGAGGAAUACCAGUGGCGAAGGCGACUUUCUGGACUGACCCUGACGCUGAGGUGCGAAAGCGUGGGUAGCAAACAGG